RNAcentral lists this ribosomal RNA (984 nucleotides) under Lactobacillus acidophilus. RNAcentral describes it as "bacterial SSU rRNA". It matches the Rfam family "Bacterial small subunit ribosomal RNA", at positions 59 to 1009 of the family's 1533-position model. Lineage: Bacteria; Bacillati; Bacillota; Bacilli; Lactobacillales; Lactobacillaceae. The record is from RNAcentral.
AAGUCGAGCGAGCUGAACCAACAGAUUCACUUCGGUGAUGACGUUGGGAACGCGAGCGGCGGAUGGGUGAGUAACACGUGGGGAACCUGCCCCAUAGUCUGGGAUACCACUUGGAAACAGGUGCUAAUACCGGAUAAGAAAGCAGAUCGCAUGAUCAGCUUAUAAAAGGCGGCGUAAGCUGUCGCUAUGGGAUGGCCCCGCGGUGCAUUAGCUAGUUGGUAGGGUAACGGCCUACCAAGGCAAUGAUGCAUAGCCGAGUUGAGAGACUGAUCGGCCACAUUGGGACUGAGACACGGCCCAAACUCCUACGGGAGGCAGCAGUAGGGAAUCUUCCACAAUGGACGAAAGUCUGAUGGAGCAACGCCGCGUGAGUGAAGAAGGUUUUCGGAUCGUAAAGCUCUGUUGUUGGUGAAGAAGGAUAGAGGUAGUAACUGGCCUUUAUUUGACGGUAAUCAACCAGAAAGUCACGGCUAACUACGUGCCAGCAGCCGCGGUAAUACGUAGGUGGCAAGCGUUGUCCGGAUUUAUUGGGCGUAAAGCGAGCGCAGGCGGAAGAAUAAGUCUGAUGUGAAAGCCCUCGGCUUAACCGAGGAACUGCAUCGGAAACUGUUUUUCUUGAGUGCAGAAGAGGAGAGUGGAACUCCAUGUGUAGCGGUGGAAUGCGUAGAUAUAUGGAAGAACACCAGUGGCGAAGGCGGCUCUCUGGUCUGCAACUGACGCUGAGGCUCGAAAGCAUGGGUAGCGAACAGGAUUAGAUACCCUGGUAGUCCAUGCCGUAAACGAUGAGUGCUAAGUGUUGGGAGGUUUCCGCCUCUCAGUGCUGCAGCUAACGCAUUAAGCACUCCGCCUGGGGAGUACGACCGCAAGGUUGAAACUCAAAGGAAUUGACGGGGGCCCGCACAAGCGGUGGAGCAUGUGGUUUAAUUCGAAGCAACGCGAAGAACCUUACCAGGUCUUGACAUCUAGUGCAAUCCGUAGAGAUAC